GUCCAGUUGGCGAGUCCCAAGUAGGACGAAACGCGCAUCCUGGAU
Molecule: non-coding RNA, 45 nt
Filed under: Schistosoma mansoni
Lineage: Eukaryota; Metazoa; Platyhelminthes; Trematoda; Strigeidida; Schistosomatidae
Source: RNAcentral